AACGAACGCUGGCGGCAGGCCUAACACAUGCAAGUCGAACGAGAUCUUCGGAUCUAGUGGCGGACGGGUGAGUAACGCGUGGGAACGUGCCCUUCUCUACGGAAUAGUCCUGGGAAACUGGGUUUAAUACCGUAUACGCCCUUCGGGGGAAAGAAUUUCGGGGAAGGAUCGGCCCGCGUUGGAUUAGGUAGUUGGUGGGGUAAUGGCCUACCAAGCCGACGAUCCAUAGCUGGUUUGAGAGGAUGAUCAGCCACACUGGGACUGAGACACGGCCCAGACUCCUACGGGAGGCAGCAUGGAAUAUUGGACAAUGGGGGAACCCUGAUCCAGCCAUGCCGCGUGAGUGAUGAGGCCUUAGGGUGUAAA
RNAcentral lists this ribosomal RNA (366 nucleotides) under uncultured bacterium. RNAcentral's name for it is "bacterial SSU rRNA". It matches the Rfam family "Bacterial small subunit ribosomal RNA", at positions 29 to 429 of the family's 1533-position model. The record is from RNAcentral.